CUCCUCCUCCUCCUCCUCAUGCUCCCAGCACUACUCCCAGCAUGGCUCCUACGGUAUCCCCUCCUCCUCCUUCUCCUCCUCCUCGUCCCCAUGCUCCCAGCAUGGCUCCUACGGCAUCCCCUCCUCCUCCUCAUGCUCCCAGCACUACUCCUAGCAUGGCUCCCACCACUUCAUCACCUCCGGUAUCCCCUCCUCCUGCUCCCAGCACUACUCCCAGCAUGGCUCCCACCAUUUCAUCGACUCCGGUAUCCCCUCCUCCAAUGUCUUCUCCGAGUCCAAGUCCAUCCAUGAGCUCCCCACCUGCGCCUGCACCUGAAACGCCAGCCUCUCAACCAGCUCCAGCACCUGAAACGCCAGCCUCUCAACCAGCUCCAGCACCUGCUCCCUCCAACACCACCACCCCCUCCUCCCCAGAUUCAGGUGCAUUUGUUCAGGGAAGUAACAUGGCUUUGCUCACACUCUUUGCAGGAGUUGCACUCCUCUUUUAAGCUCCAGUGUUUCCACGAUAUUCAUUUCCAUUCACAUUUGUGUAGAUUAAAUAAUGCUUUAUGUAUUCUUUUCCUGGUAUUUCUUUUUCAUUGGGAGCUCUCCAGCUUUUCUUGUUUUCCUUUUGAUUUUUUUUUUAUUUCAUUUGUGGUUAAUUUGGAGCUCCAUUUGUAAUUUGUGAGCAAAGAUCAGGACGGUUUGGAGAUUUUACAGAGUUACAUCUCUUCUUUUAACAUUUUAGGUUAGCCUAAUAAGGUAAAUUGUCUCUCCGCUUCGACUACCUACCAGUAUUUAUUAUGUCAUGCAUGCAUAAUUAGGCGGUACAAGUAGCCCUCAUUGCUGAAGAGUUACUACAAUUUCAGGCCAAGGUCAGGUGCAAAAGCCUACACUUAUCAUUGUCCACCAUCUUACAAUACAAGAGAGAUGAGAAAAUGUUUAAAAGUAUAUCUCCAAACAUGCAUCAAUUCGGCCUGUCCGAUUGCAGCUGCAAGCUGACCAUAUGCAUAAUUAUAUCACCCUUUUCAACCGUCAAAAAAUUACACCGAGGAGAAUUUAACCAAAAAAGUAAUGUCCUCAAAGUUUAUGAGUAAAUGGACUUGAAGCAAGGUGAAAUGAUGAACUGGUGUAAUUGUUGGUGGGACGGGACGAAGGAAGAAAAUGUUGCUGUCUGCUAGCUGGAAGGAUACAAGUAUGUGGAGGAAACUACAAAGAAUAACUCUUUCAGAGGAUAGGAAGGUGUCCUUGGGACGUUUUCUUGUGUGUGGAAAUUAAAGGGGAAUGGGCUUUGGAUGGUGGAACUCAGGCAUAAGCAGAGAAUGGCUGGUGAGGUGGGGCUAAAUUGGUACCACUGAAACACGACCGGGAUGGUGACCUGCACAUGGUUUCUCAGCCCCACCAUGAAACAUACAUACAAAUUCAAGAAACAGCUGGCUAGAAGUUAAUCCAAUUACACAGCUUCAAACAAGAUUUCAGACAAACAAAGAAUGAGGGAGAUCAAUCAAGAUAACCUUCAGUUAUCCCCAAAUUUUAAUAUUUACAGUGCUAUUGACACGAGAAAGUUACUAUGCAGUCAGUGGAAUUGUACAAAUCCACCACCUUUGCCUCGAGCUGUGAAAGGGUCGUUAGAAAGAUUUAGGAUAAUGUGACAGCACAUAACAACACUAAUGAUGUCGAAUCAAAUGUCAUUUUAACUCUUGUAUAAACCAAAAUUUGUGUGUAUAAACCACAAAAAGAAUGAUUUGAUACUUAUGCCACGGCAUUGUUAAUCUUUGGUGAUCAUUAUCUUUCUAAAAUUGCAGUGGCUAUGACAGAGGAGCAUCGGUUUCCAACAAAAAGCUAAGCAAUUAGUCAUCUUUGAUGAUUCCAUGAAGUCAACAGCCUGUGAUAUUACUCCCUAUGAGUUGGGAGUUCCUAUCACAUCUAUUAACUUUGUUCUACUUCAAAAUAUCUGCUUCAUCAAGUAGAAGCAUGCAUGUUGAUUAGUUCCCUGAUUGCUAAACCAGAUGAAUAAUGACAAACUCACUAAAAACGAAGCUUACAGUAAUGACAAACUCAGUUUCAACAAAGCUUGGAUUUGAAUCCCUCCAAACUUGAGAGCCAGAGGGACUAAAACCGUAAAACCGGCUAAACCAACAAAAAAGUUGAGUUGGAUCCAAAAUGCGUAUUCUCCCUUUCCCAAUGAAUUCAAAGAUUCUAAAGAUAUUACAAUAGGCCAUAAAAUCUCUCCACUAUGAUUUCCACAUAAAGCCUGUUGGUAUGCAUCUUUGGAAGAAACACAAAAACUUAAUAAUAUAAUACGGUUUCAAAAAUUUUGCCACCAAUGGGAGAGCAAUCAAAAGGAUCGUACUGUGUGAACUCCUUUCUGACACAAGGAUGAAUUUCAAGGAUUUUUGGUUAAGCAGGCUCCCAAAAGAAUAGAGGAUAAUGAGUAGGUGGAUCUACUAAUUCAACCACCAACAAUAUUCUUUUGUACAUGGGUUAGACACAGGGACCUCUUAUGUUCCACUAUCAACUUUUUGCAUGGGACGUGGUCGGGGCCCACUAGUUAGAAUGGUUGAAUACUUGAACUAAUGGCAAGGAUUCUUCAACUCAUCAUUCACUGAACCAGUAAGAUCUAGUAAUCACAUCAUUCUAUUGUACUGGACCAUCUAAGCACUGAAGAGACCUCAGAUUUACAAAAGCAUAUAUUAGUGAGCAUUCAAAUUCUGCAAAUUCCAAGGGAUCAUUUGCAGUCAAGACCAUGGAAAGCCUAGACCAGUCCAGUAAAUUCCUCAGCAAACUUUUCCUGGUUCAAAAAGGUUCAUUAUGGAGUAUAUUGGCAAUUAUAACCACCUAUUCAAAUGAUCAAAAUUCUGAUCUAUGGAUAGAACAGACACCAAUGCCUGAGGUAUGAGUUGGAAUCAGCUUAAGCAUAUUGCAUACCAAUGUACAAUCAAAUAAGUUGUACGCUAACUGCUAUGUACUGCUUUGCUCAUUCUACCUGAGUAAAUUAUUGAGACAUAAAAUUUUCUGAGGAAGAGACAGAAGGAUGGAGAGAAGUGUCUAAGUUGUUCUAAGUCUAAAAUGCCAACAACAUACUCAUGGACGAGUAUUUACUAGCCUAUCAUGAGGAUUAGUGGCUUCUUUGGCGCACAUGUGCAAUUCUGUGCUUUUCUCAACAUAUUUCAGCUGACAACAUUAAUGGAUUCCAGGAAGUAAGAAAUACCCAAGGUAAAUAUUUUGCAUGAAAAAUAAGAAUAUCACAAGUUACAUAUGUAAUUAGUUAUCUUUUUCUAAGUCUUCUUCGGCACUUGAAACACUCACUACAUGGAGACUUACUACUCUUUGUACUCAAGGAGGUGGCUUGAAGCUUUUCAGGUCUUCCAAGAGUAUCUUGUGGAGUUUCUCGUUUUCCUUCAUCAGCCCCUCAAUGAUUCUCUGAUGGCUCAAAACCUGAAUCAAUGUGGAACAUCACUUUCUAGAUUAUCGUCAAAUAUAUCCUAGGAACAGAAUCAUUUGAUCCGCACUGAAAAUUGGCACCAAAGUUCCUAUACAUGCAUAACACAUUAUUUUCUUGAUGUAUAAAUAAAGGGUCCAAAAUCUUUCUACUUGGUUUUAGGAAAAUACACUGAGCUUCAUCACAAAACCUUUUUAACAGACUGUAUACAGUCUCAAGAGGAAAUAAAGACACAUUUUAUUUCUCUAAACCAUGAAUGUCAUGCUACUUACGCUGAAAUACAGUUCCCUUAAAAAAUCUAAUAUGGGCUACAAUUAGAUCACUGUCAGCAUAUAUUUGCUAGUAAAAGAUCAGCAGUAAAAUAUUACCAUCUGAAGUACGUUGUUCUCCAAGCGUAGAUGCUCAGCCUGCAAAUUUUUAAGAAAUCAAAGACUAUAUUUUUAGAAAGUUGUGCUCCAAGUCAGUAAAUAUGUACAUAACCAAAUUGAAAAUGAUGUAGACAAAUAAUCACUGCAGGCAUAAUAAUAUCUGUAAAAACAGUGUAAACAUAUUCACGACAUUGAGAGCAAAAAAAUCAUUUCUUCUUCCUAGGAUUAUUUAUUACAGUAUAAUGAAUGAAGACCAGGCUUGAAGGUGUAAUAGCAGAAGGGAUGCAGUUUACGGUCAGAAAUUCCAGUUGUGAAAGCUUACACUUGACCUCCAUUUCAGGAAAAAUACUCACAACUUAAAACUGAUGGACUAAGUUGAUUCCAAAAUUCAGCAUGUAAAUGGGCUUGAGAUAAUUAGAGGUCAUCCUUUACAAUUCCAUAUUUUUACUUGUUCGCAUAGCCUGUAAGCUUUAAAUGCUCAAAACACAUUCUCAUUAACUUAGCUGUAGAGUUUCAAAACGUUAAGCUCCUCUGCAAAAGCUAUAUCAGUGCCAACGGAAUUUACAAGCCAAAGGUACCAUUUUAAGAAAGACAACAGCAAUACUGUAACUUACAUAAAUAUGCACCAAGAAAGAUGAAAGCAACACUGUAAUCAUCAAUAACUAAGCUUUAAAGUCAAGCAACAAUCAGAUAAAUAGCUAAUAUAUACAUAUCAAAGAAGUUAUUUGGGAACGACAGGUCCAUGGAUGCAUGGUUCAAUUAGCAUACCAGCUCAUUUACUUCUCUGUCUUCAUCUUUCAAAAGAGGAUUUUGUAAAAAGUUGCUGAGGACCUUCUCUGUUUGACUACUGUAAGAUGCAUUUAGUGGAGUACUUUUGUAAGCUUCAGUUUCAUCAGAAGAAACUGUACUUGCAUCUCCAGGCAAUCCUUGACGCUUGAGCUCAGGGGCUUUCUUUGCUACUUGUGCAACAGUCCCUAGUGGAUUUGAAAUUGAUCUGUGGCUCGUCAUGCUGAGGCCACCUUGCAAUGACUCUGGAAGAGCACCUUUGACAGCAGGCAAGCUCGGAGCUAUACCAAACCUCAUCAUUAAAUUUGCCACUGUUUGCUGAUAGGAUACUAGGUGUAAGAUCGAACCAAUGAAGCAUAGCAGGAAUUAGUGAAAACUGAAAAGCAUAACACUAUAUACAUACAAUGAGGCACGACUGAAGCUGAUGCAGCACACUUGGCUUCAUGGCAAGACCUGUCAUGCAGCUACAACAGCUUCAGAAGUGCAAACAAUAGCACAUAAAUAAGUUAAAUUCCUUUCUUUCAGGAAUCUAGUUGACCAGAAAUUUAGUGCUUAAUAUACUUUUUCAGUAUUUGAACUUGUGAACACCAAAAAGAAAAGUAACUCUCCAGGAAUAAAGAAGCUAUAUUGGCCGGGGGGGGGGUGGGGGAAGAGAGAGAUUUUGCCAUUGCUAAGCUUGGAUGAUCACUUAAAAGUUUACUUUUGCUAGAAAGCAUGCACCGUAAAAAAGAUCUUUAAACUUUGGGGCAGCUCCUGCUCAUCCCCAUAGCCUUUUUCUCUCAGGCAGUUCUGCUGAUUAGAUAUCCAUUUGCAGUAUUUAUAACCCUCAGAUUUCACCUUGGAAUUUGCCAAGAUAAAACAAUAUAGUUGGAGUUUGUACAUCUUGUCCAUCCUUACCAACACCAAACCCAUGGCCAAAGCCUACUCCACAUCCAAUGCCUGCUUCUAUGUUCUUUGCUCCCAACUUCCUCAGCUAAAAAAUAAUAAUAAUAAUAAAAAUCAAAAUCAAGAAGCAAGUUUAUGAAGGAAGCCUGAGGGGAAUACUUCUCAAUCAUACACAUAAACACACAAACCAUACUAAUUAUGAGCAUUUGACUCAAAGGAAGAUUUAAAAGACAUACAGAGCUAUUAACGUGCCUUCCAACCCCAGAAAAGGCAUCUGUUGCGCCUCUAGCAGCACCCAUAACUUGGUUCAGCAUUGGUAUUGCACCUGAGGCAUGAAAUGUGAACUUGGUAAAAGAGAGAGAAAUAAGUAACAGGGUUCAAUUCCUUGGUUCUCGUUUAUUGAUAAAAGUAGAAGUGGCACAUAAUUAUUUGGUCUCACUAGCUUAAUUUGAUACAUUUCCUGCAAAUAAGAAUUAGAGAAUUGUCAUCGGUUGUUUCAAGACACUAAAAAAGAUUUAACUAGAGAAAAUGAACAGAACCGAAGUUGUUUGAAUAAAAACCAUCAUGAACCACAUUAACUAUAGCUGUUGUCUGAUGCCACUCAACCAUCAAAAUCGGCACACAAUGAUUUCUUUUUUCUUCUAGGUAAUAUGUAAAAUGCCUCAUCGGUAUAAUCUAUCAAGGUGAACAUCACCUCAUUUGCAUAGUAAAAAAGACAGCUAAACAAUUCCUGCAACAAUUUCGUUAACCAGAUAUACGUCCAACAAACACAUUAAAUCUUCACCAAAAACAUGUAAUCAAACUGAAGAACCACUCAUGAAAGAAGAGCACAAAUUUAUCCUUCCCAACUCAUAUAAGAUAUUUUCCCACUUCGACAUCCAUCAUACCAUUGCCUUCCACAUUCUGACAGAGAAAGUCUAACAAACACAAAUGCAGUCUUAAAGCUGGAUAUAUUCAAAAUGACACAAUAUCACUCGAACAAUGCUUUCAGAAAUGCUAAGCAAAUCAGAAAAUUCAGCCAUAACUCAGUCUCUAAAACAGAAUACAAAAUAUACUGAAAUAUUACUUCUUGCAACUUAAACAUUUCAAAUGUAUGCUAAAUAUAUGUUCUUGAAGGACCAAUAGAACUGAAACAUACAAACUAAUGUUGAUAUCUAUAAACAAACAGUUUACAUGAUUUAUGGUCUUUGCCAGCUUUAGGCCCGAAAAACUCUGAAAAGUUCAUAUUUUUCUGGGUUCGAUAAGUCAAGAAAAAACUGAAUAACAAACAAUAAGGAACACAGACAAUGUGAAGUUGCAUAACAAACCUAAGUUUAAAGGGCGUCCAACACCAAUACCGAUUCCACAGCCAAUUCCAAAGCCAGUAAAUACUUGUCCCACUUUUAAAGAAAAGGGGUUCUCUAUUUUCACCAUUCUUUCUUUUGUAACAAUCACUCCACCACUGUUUCUACUACCAGUACUGGUCUCCAUUGUGAAAAAAAGGAACAAAAACCUUUGCCUUUUCCUUUUGUUUUUUUACCCCUCUCUUCAGGAAAAGCUAUAAAGGAUAGAGAUUCUUCAAGAAUUCAAAGCCCAUUUGACUGCUUUGGGUAAGAAAUGAACCUUUUUCUCUUUAUUGCGAAUAGAGCGAUUCGACAGUAGUAAAGAGGAAGAGAGUUGGCGAGACCGACUCUGGGACUCUGGAGCAGGGGGUACAUUUGAAAGAUAUGUUAAAUUAACGGGUUUAAUGCGAGAAAUCACAGAACUUCAGAGGAGGUGAUUCUAAAAGACACAGUUAACUGUCCAGCGAAUUAUCCAGAUGACCUCUAAACUUUUAGAAUCUCCAAAAUUUGGUUACUAAAUUAUUAAAAAUCUGAUUUUAGCUAUUAAACUAUUUAAAAUUUAUAUUUCAGAUCGUUCUAUUAGAUUUGAUCGUUAAUUAUGUCAGAUUUGAGUGCUCGCACAACUCACGAGACAAAAGAAAGAGGCACGAUUAAUGAUAAAAUUUGACAAGAUGACUCAAAUUUAAAUUUUAAAUGAUUUAGUGGCCAAAACCAAACUUUAAAUAAUUUAGUGUUACAAAAGAAAGAAUGGUGAAAAUAGAGAACCCCUUUUCUUUAAAAGUGGGACAAGUAUUUACUGGCUUUGGAAUUGGCUGUGGAAUUGAUACAUAGAAAACAAAAACCUUAUAUAUUGAUUUACUUCAAAAAUUAAAAAAAAAAAUCUAAAAUUCACACUCUUCUAUCCUAGAUCCAAAUAAAAUAAAACCUCAUAUAACUCCCGAUGGCAAACGAUGGGAGGAAUUAAUUUGGGUUUAUACCCAAAUAUACCCAUUUCAUUAUGGAGUUAACUUCAGCAGGAUCAACAUGAGAUGAGCUGAAUUGAUUUAUGCUUAGUUUGAUUAGAAUUAAAACGAAGAAGUAUUUGAUUGUUUUUUGUAAUCUCUUUGUUAUAAUUUGGAAUAAUAGCUAACUAUAUAGAUUGCAUAUGUAUCUCGCUGCUAUAACAUGUAUAUGAAAUAGAAAUUAAUUGAAAGGCAUAAGAAAGAGCAAAGAAAUUAUGUGUAUUUAUUAGAUUAAUCUUUUAUAUAUUAACACUGCAUACACUAUUACUAUUUUAUACACUAACAUUAUAUACAGUAUCACUGUAAUAGCAUAAAUACUAUUCGUAUAUAUAAAAUUAAUUUUUAUUUAUUCGCUCUUCCUUAUAUACUCUGUCUUUGGCGUACCAAAUACAGUCUGCUCUAGGUACAAAAGAGAAAAUAUAAAAAUACAGGGAGGAGCGAAAGGCUAUUGAAAGAAAAUGUUGCAAAUGGACCAGGCCCAAAACAGUCUUAUCCAGAUCUGGGAGAAAUGUCCAACAUUGAGGCCUUAAUGUGGUUUGCUGUCUCCUGACUUCUUCUUCUUGUUUGUAACAUGGGACAUUUUUGUAGUUGUUCUUUGAGGUUGGAAUAAUUUUUUCGAGGCAAAAACUCGGGUAGGCUUAGUCUUAUAGAUCAUGUGGUUCAAAUGUUGUCACAUCUUCAAUUUUUGGGUUGGUGAAAAAUGGCGUGACAAAACAUAGGGCACACAGUCUGUGUAUAGAUUGAGUCUACUCAAGUGUUUGCUAUUUUCGAUGCAGACAAUUGGCGACUAGUAUUGGUCAAAAAUUGACUUUCCUUGAAGGAUGCAGAAGCUUCUUUUUUUUUUUUUUUUCAGAGACGAUAAACUUAUUCUAUCCUACAUUAAGGGAGAGGGGACGGACCUAAGGAGAUCCAGAGGUAAUCCGGAGAGGACUGAACUACCAUCGGACCAGACGGGUGCACAGUACACUCGCGUGAAUUUUUUAGAAACAAACCACUUAGAUGUGAGAUUUUUUGGUGGGAAACAAACACUUGCCUCCCACCCCACCCACUUAGGUGGUAGCCACCAACCUUAUGCAGAAGCUUCAUCUUAGCCUAAAAGGCGAGAAAGGUAUCAAUGGUGAGGACGCGAUUCACCCAUGUUACCCAAUUUUGCCAAAAGAUUUUCCCAGGCCCGCCAACAAAUCUAGUUGGACAAGACAAUUCCACCAAAGAAAACCUCAAGUCUCUCUUCCCUGCAUUGUAAAUCUGAAUGAAACAUUUGGAUAGGAAAUUAUUUGAAAUAAUGCUGUAAUAUUUUUUUUGGUAAUGUCGUGUAUGUGAAAUGAAAAUUUACUUAAAGGAUCAAAAAAUAAUUAAACAAUAUAUUUAUCAUGUAAGCAUAAUAAUAUUUGCAAAUAAUGGCCAUCCAAUCAUAGUAAAGGCAUUUUCUAGUUCUUUAGUUAUUCGAUUACCCAUGAUUGGCUCCCUUGUUUGUAAUAUAGUUAGAACUUGUUUAGAUUGCGAGUUUUUGGGGAGAAUUUUUAAAUAUAUUAUAUAUAUAUAUUAUAAUUAUCUUUCAUAUAUAUCACAUCGCUACACAAGAAAAAAACUCCUAAAAAGUGCAGUUCAUACGUGACCCUGUCUACAAGUAUUUUUUCCAUCCAAACUCCUAAAAAUUGUAAUCCAAACCGCGCCUUAGUAACACCAUCUUGAUGGAUUGAAGGACGCAAUAAUUCAUGAGACAUGAGUAAGAUACUCCUUUCUGAUACUGAGCCGACGUAACUCAUUGAAUUGUAUAGUUAGUAAGUAGAGCCGUGGAAGCCAGCACAGACCAUUUAUUACAAGUUAGAAAACUCCAUUCAAAUCCAACAGCGGGCCCAAGUGUUCAUGUAGCUUGCCAUCAAGAAAGAUUUUGCUUGAAUUGGGGUAAUUACUAAUUACAUAAGGAGUAAAGAUCCCUAGUUGGCCAAUUUAUUAGAGCACUGAGGCCUUGUUUGGACAGUAAUUUUUCAUGUAACUUGCUACGUUUUUCGUGAACACAUUUUCUAAUCACCUUUUUAUCUCACAUAUAUUAAAUCAUUACAGUAAGUAUUCUACAAAAAAUCCAAAAAAAUGCAAUUCAAACAAAGCCUAAAUUGCUCAAACCAAUCAGAGAAGGCUAAGUGUGUGUGUGUGUGUGGGGAAUAGUUUUCAAAUGUCUUCUUGUAAGUGAAAAUAGGUAUUAGUUGGAAAGUUGAAAAUCUCAACUAACAUACGAAUCUUGCUAAUAAAUGCUUUAAUAAAAGAAGUGAAACAACUAUAAGAUGAUCCAUCUAGAAGAAACAAGUCAAGUGUUUAUGUCUGACUCAUUCAAUACAUAAUCAAAAGAUCUAUUAAACUCUUAAUAUUAAAAAGCAUCAGGGAAGCUACAAGAAAAAUCUUUAAUGGGGAAGUGUAACUACAAUUUUCAUUCCUGAGCCAUCUUUUUCUGGAGAUGGAAUAAUCAUGACCAAAGCUUCAUCAGGCACAGAGUUGAUCCAGCAUGAUACAUGAGCAGGCCUGUUUCCUUCUUCAAACCAGAUUUCUGUAACCCCUAAGUCAUCCCAAGUUGAACAAGUGUGAAUUCCAUUCACAGUUGUGGAUGGUUUUUGAACCAACCCUUCUCUCGUAAAGUUUCUUACAUUAACUUCUUCUGAUGGUUCUUUCACCAAGAAGGAGAAAUUUAAGCUUGGAGCUGUUUUAUAGCCAAGCUUGUACUCUGCCUCAUCAAUGCAUGCUGCUGCAAAUUUGUUGUGGAUUUCACUGUCCAAAUCCAGAACUUUGUUGGCAAUGGUGAAGAUCAUAGUUUUGGCAGCAUAUGCUUUUUUGCUUGAGCCAAUUGAUAGACCUGGUAAAGGGCCAGGGUUCCUAAGAUUGGGUCGGUAAAAUAUUGGUAUUUUGGGCACAUCAGUUCUUGAAACCAUUUCAACGUGAAUGUCUCUCCAUCUCUUCAAAAAACUUGUCAUAGCAACAGGAUCAACCAGAAGAAGGCUGCAACUAAUCCCAAUAGAGUAUCCCCCACAUUUGAAGCUGGUUACCUAAAACAUAUUUAAAAGAAAAAAAUGAAGAUACUGCUUAGAUCCUUUCACCUGAAGAUCAGAUAUAUUUUACAUUAUCUUCACCUAUGACACCGCUAAUACCCAGAACAAACAAAUCCCAAAUUUAAAAAGUUUACCAAAUGAUGAAUGAUUCCUCAACGCCUUAGUGUGAGCUAUCAGUUUAUCAUGCAUGAGACUUAAUCAUUGGUCAGUUCUAGUCUAGAAGUAUAGUAAUCCAAUUUUUAGUGUGUAUACUUGCUAACCUGGACAUAAAACAAAGGGGAAAAUUGAGGAUUUUGUUCACGAUCCAAACCCUCCCAAUAGACAAGUUCAGCUUCUGCUUUUUUCUUAUCCUUCAAAUCAAGAAACUCUGAUAAGGUCAUGGCAAGCUGUGCCUCAAUCAGUCUAACUCCUGAAUCAUUUGACACCAUCUCCAACUCUCCUUCAACAUCUUGAUUUCUCCUUAGCCUUCCGGCAAGCAUUGGCUGCUCUGAUAAUGCCCAUCCCAGUGACUCCCUGAUCCAUCCUGCAACUAGGGAGCCAGAAGCUAUCCCCGAAUCCUCCUCUUCUGAGGCUACCUUUUGGUAGCACAGAAGAACGUUAAAGCACCUGAAGAAUAUCCCUGAAAUGGGAUUCUCAGAAAGACAAACUCGAGUGGAUUUUCUUGGAUCAGUUGGCUUGACUGGCAUCACAGUCUGGAUAGCAUGAAACUCCAACUUGGAGCCAAAGGGACCAUUGCCAUUGCACGCUGCCAUUUGGUAAUUACUAGCAAUAUUUCAAUGACUUCUCUCUCUCUCUCUCUUUUUCUUUUUUGGGUAGAAAUUUCAAGAACUAGUCGACACUCAAUUAAUCACAGAAGAAGUUGUCAUUUAUAAGGACUGUUUGCCAGAUUUUCGUAUGAUAGAUUUGAAUACUCCAAAUAGGCGUCAAUUUCCUACUGAGGUGUUUGUAGGAUGGUUGUGCCGCUACACCUAACUUCCAUAAUUAGUACUUAUACAAAGAAAGGAAAAAUUUAUUUGCUAGUACAUAAAAUUUGGUAACAGACCACAGCUAAUCUGUCGUAGUCCUAAUUUAUUGGUCACAUAAGAUUUCCAUAAACACCGGCCCCGGCCCCGGCCCCUGUUCCUGAAGAUUAAACAUUUGUUUUCAUGCGGUGGGACAAAAUUCUUUCAGUCGGGUAGUUGGCAUUUAAAACAAUGGCCUCCAGGGCAUGUAAAUUAGAAAAAUUUCCGGUGAUUCUAUCAUAGGGGUGCCAUACUUAACUCUAUCACGGUAGUCGCAUGAUUGAUAUAAUUUCUGUCAUUAGUACAGAUUUAUUGAAAAUAUGAUGCUUUAUUUUAUUAUUAUUUAAAAAAAAAAAAAAAAACUCUACCGGAACUUACUGAAAUUGUUGUCAAUCCCUUGCCAGAAUUGAAAAACUCAGUAAUUUGUUCACUCUUAGGAUUUCAUAGGAGCGGCGCCGGCGGAGAGUGACGGGGCAAGUGGCUAGGAAGGCCCCCCAGUAGUUGGCUCUUGAUUGUCUUGAAGGUGCAUGGACAUGGCCAGUUUCUCAGGAAAAGCACUUGGAUGCUUGACAACAUAGAAAAGGAGGCAUUUGCCAACAAUCAAAGGCAAAAUUUUAUAUUACUAAUUAAUGUAACUCGCUGUCCUGGCCUUCCUCUUCAGAGUUGAGACCUAAAGAAUUUAAGGUUAGGCAUUUAAGUCUCGCACCCUAUAAAUUCAACUGUUAUUGGGGAAAGAGAAGUACAAAUAUUACAAGCAUAACACUUUCUAAAAAGUUGGAUUUCUGAAGAGCAACAAACAUAUUGGAAAACAAAAAAAAAAAAAUCUUAAUUUCUGCAAGUUAUCUUUCGUGAAAACUGUAGGAAUAAAGAUUUGGACCAUUUGCCAAAAUUAAGGCUGGUUUUUGGCACUUUUGCCCAAAGGGUUCUGUAGUAUAAUGGACCACAAAUUUCAAUAAGCGCCCUCCCCGGCUCAAUAAUAGUGUGUACGUUGUAAUCAAACAAAAAGAAGGGAAAUUCUAUGAUCUAUUUGGAAAUCACUCCCUCAUUUUCUAUUCCUAGUGAUAACAGUUGUUCUUGUUCCUCCGAGUCAUAUUAAAAGCUGCUAUUAAGAUGAUUCUCCUGAGUCAUCAACAGCACAACUUUACUUUCAUUUUGCCCAUUUGACUUAUUCUAGGAGCUAAUCCACCUAGCUAUUUCCUAAAUCCUCUUCCCACUUGAAAAAUCCAGAAAAUGUACGUAGAUCAAUCCGAACAAUUGGAUUUAGCGUUCUUGUUCCUCCGAGAAUACAUGCGCAUUCAAUUCUUGCAACAAAGAUUCCAGCCAUUCAACUUGAAUAAUGGGAGCAUUGUCAUAUUACAAUGUCUAGACAAUUUGAAGAUUGAAACUUUGUAUCAAAGUAUUCCUCAACUACACCAAUACUAAUGCAUUGUGCAUCUGCAACCUAGAUGAUGAUGAAUUUUCCCUACUUUGAAUACCGCAUUCAUUGAAUGAUCAAAUGACAUCUCAUUCUUCUACUGUUCCAGAAGUUAUUUUUAGCGUCUCAAUGAAAGGCUUUGAUUCCCCAGAAGCAAGAUGCUUGAGGAAAUCUCUUAAACUGCUCCCCUUGUAUUUUUUCCGAUGGUCUUCAUCCACCAAUUCAAUAGCAGGCUCAAGAACUUCAUCCAUUCCCAAACUCAGGAAACUAGCUAUAGAAAGCCUAGUUUCAUUGCUAGAUUCUUGGAUUACACGAUGCAAGACAGACUUGUACUUGCCAUUGCUUAACACCAUCUUUUAAGCU
This 13599-nucleotide long non-coding RNA is filed under the name Coffea arabica (coffee). RNAcentral describes it as "long non-coding RNA (CARA_LNC006098)". The record is from RNAcentral. Lineage: Eukaryota; Viridiplantae; Streptophyta; Magnoliopsida; Gentianales; Rubiaceae.